This is a long non-coding RNA of Felis catus (domestic cat), 2018 nucleotides long. RefSeq lists it as uncharacterized. The transcript has 5 exons. The record is from RefSeq and is a predicted model, not a curated record. Lineage: Eukaryota; Metazoa; Chordata; Mammalia; Carnivora; Felidae.
AUCAACAGACUACAUGCUUAUUAAAACAAAUCAUAAGCAGCAAGCCAUGUUUGGGUGCAGUUAGGAGCUGUUACUUUGUGGUCUGAAGAAAAGUUGUAUGUUUAAAUCUGUGCAGGACCCAGCAUAUCUCCACUGAGGUCUCUUAACUGAGCCAAUCCUUCUUCCCCAUCCUCUGAGGAAAUGACAUCUUCACACAGAGGUGCGACAGGUUGAGGCUGGUAUGACAUAAUGCGAGUGAUAUGUCACCAAGAGACAGGGUUAAAUAUGUUUCCAGGCUUUCUUUAUGUCAAAGCAUCCUUUGUAUGAACAAGCCAAAGAAGAAAGAACUAAUCAGCACUGAAGACCAGAGAGCAAGGAAAUUAUUCAGCGCUCAAAGAAAUUCACCCUAGGCACACAUCAAAUUGCAUCUCACAUGCAGAAGAGAUUGGUGAACUCCGAUAGGUUCAGGAUAAGCACCUGACGUUCAGAUGCUUAUAUCUGAACUUUAUCUGAAUGAUCCAGAUUUCUUAGUUACAAAAUACAAGGCUGGGAAUUGCUAUUAUUGUUGUUGUUAUUAUUAUUGUUAUUACUUUCUAAAGCUCACAAAGCACUGUUAUAUGAAGUUUAGAAAUGCCCCUGUUUAGGAUGAAAUAACAUCAAUAUAUUACUCUAGGAAAGAAUACAUUUUUAAAUUUUAACAGUUAUGAGAUAUAUAUAUAUUUAAAACCUUUCAUAGACUGUCACAGCAUUUUUGUGUUUUUGCAAUUCUGCCAUUCAGAAGUAAAAAGGUGGCUUCAUAGUCCCAAAUAUCACUAUCUUUUCAUUUUUUUCUAAGACUAUAUUUAGAUUUAUAUAUAUAUAUAAAGGAGCACAUUUAAAGCCCAUAAAGGAUCUGUAAAAUAAAAUUACUAUCAGCUGAAAGGCCCUCUUUGCCUUCAACAAUAUCUGACAAAUGACUUCUCUUUUCCUUCAGGAGGUUUUGGUAACACUUAAGGAGAAAUCUGAGCAGUUCACUUUGGCAGGGGAAAGAAACUCAAUGGCACAGGCUCUGUGAAGUUUGAGCUUUAAACAAGUGUGGCACCAGCCAGGGAAAGAACAAUGGAGAGUGCGUGAACAACACAAACUGGGCUAGAAAAAUGUCGACUCAGUUCUUUUCUCCUCCCUUGCAGGAACCCCGACUCAAAGUCAGGUCCUGUUUGCUGGUACAGUGGGUGAGAAGGGAAAGUGUUUUCAAACACACAGUGCCCUGGGCUCUCAGCACCGCUGAUCAAAAUGGUCUCUGAGCUCCUUGGCUUCGGUGGACUUCAAUAAUCUGCAUCCAUGGGCUACCCUGUUCCUCUUCUGUUUCUGUAGACGUGACAAAGUCGCUGGUCAAUAGGGAGAAGACCAGUUCAGGCUGCCACAAUGAAAUACCAUAGACUGGGUGGCUUCAACAACCAAAGUGUACUCCUCACAGGUCUGGAGGCUGGGAAGUCCAAGAUCAAACAGCCAGCAUGGUUGAGUCUGGUGAGAACUCUCUUCUUGGCAUGCAGUCAGCCACUUUCUUGGUGUGUCCUCACAUGGCAGAGAGAAAGCCAGCUGUGGUUUCUUCUUCUUCCUCUUCUUCCUCUUCUUCCUCUUCUUCUUCUUCGGCAUCUAAUUCCAUCAUGGAAGCCUCACUCUCAUGACUUCACUCCCUGAAGGCCUCAAUUCCAUACUUUGGGGAAGUGCUUUGACAUACGAAUUUGGUGACAGGGCUCUAACACUCAGGCAAUAACAAGAGCUAUUUUGUUCUGCUCCCUUAUGACCCCUCUCCUAGAGCGACCUCACAGGGAAUUUGCAUACUUCACUUCUGACACUAGCCACAUGUAUCUGCUGGAGCUGCACCCCACUCUUUCUCUUUGCACCUACAAAAUUGGAAGUAAUACACUCGGAUGUUUGAAAUCUGAAACUCAGGUCUAAGUAUUUUUUUUUUCAACGUUUAUUUAUUUUUGGGACAGAGAGAGACAGAGCAUGAACGGGGGAGGGGCAGAGAGAGGGAGACACAGAAUCGGAAGCAG